UCAAGCUACAAAGAGCACAAGGGGAAUGCCUUGGCACCGAGAGCCGAAGAAGGACGUGACUAACUGCGAUAAGCUGCGGGGAGCCGUAAGUAGGCUUUGAUCCGCAGAUUUCCGAAUGGAGCAAUCCGGCAAGAGGAAAGUCUUGUCAUCAUAUACUGAAUACAUAGGUAUAUGAGGGGAACCGCCUGAACUGAAACAUCUAAGUAGGGCGAGGAAGAGAAAUCAACUGAGAUUCCGUAAGUAGUGGCGAGCGAACGCGGAAGAGGCCAAACCGAGAGUAGUAAUACUUUCGGGGUUCGGACAGAAUACGGCAUUGUAAAGGUUUAGUGGAAUGGAAUGGGAAGUCCAACCGAAGAAGGUGAGAGUCCUGUACACGAAAAGCCUGAACAGCCAUCUGUAUCCAGAGUACCGCCGGACACGUGAAACCCGGUGGGAAUACGGGGGGACCAUCCUCCAAGCCUAAAUACUACUCGGUGACCGAUAGUGAAGAAGUACUGUGAAGGAAAGGUGAAAAGUACCCCUGACGGGGAGUGAAAAAGAACCUGAAACCUUGUGUUUACAAGCACCGAAAGCUCAUCAAAGAGCGAUCGGGUACCUUUUGUAGAAUGGUCCGGCGAGUGAAUGUAACCGGCGAGGUUAAGCACUUAAGGUGUGAAGCCGCAGCGAGAGCAAGUCUGAAUAGGGCGUAUGAAGUCGGUUGUAUUCGACCCGAAACCGGGUGACCUACCCAUGGUCAGGUUGAAGUAAAGGUAAAACUUUAUGGAGGACCGAACCGACUCCCGUUGAAAUGGUAGCGGAUGAACUGUGGGUAGCGGAGAAAUUCCAAUCGAACCCGGAGAUAGCUGGUUCUCUCCGAAAUAGCUUUAGGGCUAGCCUUGAAAUAGAUUACCGGAGGUAAAGCACUGAAUUGGCUAGGGGCCGAGAGGUUACUGAACCUUAUCAAACUAAGAAUGCCGGAUAAUCGUUUUUCAGGAGUCAGACAGUGGGAGAUAAGUUUCAUUGUCAAAAGGGAAACAGCCCAGACCCACAGCUAAGGUCCCCAAGUAUAGUUAAGUGGAAAAGGAUGUGGAAUUGCACAGACAACCAGGAUGUUGGCUUAGAAGCAGCCACUCAUUAAAAGAGUGCGUAAUAGCUCACUGGUCGAGUGACUCUGCGCCGAAAAUUUAACGGGGCUAAACUAUACACCGAAGCUUGGGAUACAUCUAAUGUAUGGUAGGAGAGCGUUCUGUAUGGGGAGAAGUCGUAGCGAAAGCGGCGGUGGACUAUACAGAAGUGAGAAUGCCGGAAUAAGUAGCGAGAAUUAAGUGAGAAUCUUAAUGGCCGAAAGUCUAAGGUUUUUGGAGGAAGGUUCGUCCGCUCCAAGUAAGUCGGGAGCUAAGGUCAGGCCGAAAGGCGUAGCCGAUGCACAUACGGUUGAUAUUCCGUAACCAUCUGUAAUUUAAGCAAAGGGACACUUCAAAAGGGUGUGACCCGGGCGUUGGUUGACCCGGGCGUAAGGGACCGAAAUUAGAGUAGGGAAGCACACUUAGCUGAAGGCGAGAAAAGCUUUGCGUAUAGAAACAGAUGCCCGUACCGCAAACCGACACAGGUGGACAGGAAGAGAAUUCUAAGGCCAGCGGGAGAAGGGUAGUUAAGGAACUCGGCAAAUUGACUCCGUAACUUCGGAAUAAGGAGUGCUCGAAAGAGCCGCAGAGAAUAGGCCCAGGCGACUGUUUAGCAAAAACACAGGUCUCUGCCAAAUCGAAAGAUGAAGUAUAGGGGCUGACACCUGCCCGGUGCCGGAAGGUUAAGAGGAGGAGUGAGAGCUCCGAAUUGAAGCCCCGGUAAACGGCGGCCGUAACUAUAACGGUCCUAAGGUAGCGAAAUUCCUUGUCGGGU
Molecule: ribosomal RNA, 1878 nt
Filed under: human gut metagenome
Description: bacterial LSU rRNA
Rfam family: Bacterial large subunit ribosomal RNA
Source: RNAcentral